UUAAGUUAGAAAGGGCGCACGGUGGAUGCCUUGACACUAGGAGUCGAUGAAGGACGGGACUAACGCCGAUAUGCUUCGGGGAGCUGUAAGUAAGCUUUGAUCCGAAGAUUUCCGAAUGGGGAAACCCACCAUACGUAAUGGUAUGGUAUCCUUAUCUGAAUACAUAGGGUAAGGAAGACAGACCCAGGGAACUGAAACAUCUAAGUACCUGGAGGAAGAGAAAGCAAAUGCGAUUUCCUGAGUAGCGGCGAGCGAAACGGAACAUAGCCCAAACCAAGAGGCUUGCCUCUUGGGGUUGUAGGACAUUCUAUACGGAGUUACAAAGGAACGAGGUAGACGAAGCGACCUGGAAAGGUCCGUCGUAGAGGGUAACAACCCCGUAGUCGAAACUUCGUUCUCUCUUGAAUGUAUCCUGAGUACGGCGGAACACGUGAAAUUCCGUCGGAAUCUGGGAGGACCAUCUCCCAAGGCUAAAUACUCCCUAGUGAUCGAUAGUGAACCAGUACCGUGAGGGAAAGGUGAAAAGCACCCCGGAAGGGGAGUGAAAGAGAUCCUGAAACCGUGUGCCUACAAAUAGUCAGAGCCCGUUAACGGGUGAUGGCGUGCCUUUUGUAGAAUGAACCGGCGAGUUACGAUCCCGUGCGAGGUUAAGCUGAAGAGGCGGAGCCGCAGCGAAAGCGAGUCUGAAUAGGGCGUUUAGUACGUGGUCGUAGACCCGAAACCAGGUGAUCUACCCAUGUCCAGGGUGAAGUUCAGGUAACACUGAAUGGAGGCCCGAACCCACGCACGUUGAAAAGUGCGGGGAUGAGGUGUGGGUAGCGGAGAAAUUCCAAUCGAACCUGGAGAUAGCUGGUUCUCCCCGAAAUAGCUUUAGGGCUAGCCUUAAGUGUAAGAGUCUUGGAGGUAGAGCACUGAUUGGACUAGGGGUCCUCAUCGGAUUACCGAAUUCAGUCAAACUCCGAAUGCCAAUGACUUAUCCUUAGGAGUCAGACUGCGAGUGAUAAGAUCCGUAGUCAAAAGGGAAACAGCCCAGACCGCCAGCUAAGGUCCCAAAGUGUGUAUUAAGUGGAAAAGGAUGUGGAGUUGCUUAGACAACUAGGAUGUUGGCUUAGAAGCAGCCACCAUUUAAAGAGUGCGUAAUAGCUCACUAGUCGAGUGACUCUGCGCCGAAAAUGUACCGGGGCUAAAUACACCACCGAAGCUGCGGAUUGAUACCAAUGGUAUCAGUGGUAGGGGAGCGUUCUAAGGACAGUGAAGUCAGACCGGAAGGACUGGUGGAGUGCUUAGAAGUGAGAAUGCCGGUAUGAGUAGCGAAAGACGGGUGAGAAUCCCGUCCACCGAAUGCCUAAGGUUUCCUGAGGAAGGCUCGUCCGCUCAGGGUUAGUCAGGACCUAAGCCGAGGCCGACAGGCGUAGGCGAUGGACAACAGGUUGAUAUUCCUGUACCACCUCUUUAUCGUUUGAGCAAUGGAGGGACGCAGAAGGAUAGAAGAAGCGUGCGAUUGGUUGUGCACGUCCAAGCAGUUAGGCUGAUAAGUAGGCAAAUCCGCUUAUCGUAAAGGCUGAGCUGUGAUGGGGAAGCUCCUUAUGGAGCGAAGUCUUUGAUUCCCCGCUGCCAAGAAAAGNNNNNNNNNNNNNNNNNNNNNNNNNNNNNNNNNNNNUCCAAGCAGUUAGGCUGAUAAGUAGGCAAAUCCGCUUAUCGCGUAGGCUGAGCUGUGAUGGGGAAGCUCCUUAUGGAGCGAAGUCUUUGAUUCCCCGCUGCCAAGAAAAGCUUCUAGCGAGAUAAAAGGUGCCUGUACCGCAAACCGACACAGGUAGGCGAGGAGAGAAUCCUAAGGUGUGCGAGAGAACUCUGGUUAAGGAACUCGGCAAAAUGACCCCGUAACUUCGGGAGAAGGGGUGCUUUCUUAACGGAAAGCCGCAGUGAAUAGGCCCAAGCGACUGUUUAGCAAAAACACAGCUCUCUGCGAAGCCGUAAGGCGAAGUAUAGGGGGUGACACCUGCCCGGUGCUGGAAGGUUAAGGAGAGGGGUUAGCGUAAGCGAAGCUCUGAACUGAAGCCCCAGUAAACGGCGGCCGUAACUAUAACGGUCCUAAGGUAGCGAAAUUCCUUGUCGGGUAAGUUCCGACCCGCACGAAAGGUGUAACGAUUUGGGCACUGUCUCAACCAGAGACUCGGUGAAAUUAUAGUACCUGUGAAGAUGCAGGUUACCCGCGACAGGACGGAAAGACCCCGUGGAGCUUUACUGUAGCCUGAUAUUGAAUUUUGGUACAGUUUGUACAGGAUAGGCGGGAGCCAUUGAAACCGGAGCGCUAGCUU
Molecule: ribosomal RNA, 2318 nt
Filed under: Streptococcus pneumoniae
Lineage: Bacteria; Bacillati; Bacillota; Bacilli; Lactobacillales; Streptococcaceae
Description: bacterial LSU rRNA
Rfam family: Bacterial large subunit ribosomal RNA
Source: RNAcentral